GCGGCGUGCGGGCGGGGAGCGUUGUAGGGCUGGCCCUCCCGCGGGCCGAGAUGGUCCCGGCCAUCCUCGGCGUGCUGGGCGCCGGCGCCGCC
RNAcentral lists this transfer RNA (92 nucleotides) under Sphaerisporangium melleum. Its description in RNAcentral is "tRNA-Gly". Lineage: Bacteria; Bacillati; Actinomycetota; Actinomycetes; Streptosporangiales; Streptosporangiaceae. The record is from RNAcentral.